GUCCACGCCGUAAACGAUGGGCACUAGGUGUGGGAGGUGUCGACUCCUCCCGUGCCGUAGCUAACGCAUUAAGUGCCCCGCCUGGGGAGUACGGCCGCAAGGCUAAAACUCAAAGGAAUUGACGGGGGCCCGCACAAGCAGCGGAGCAUGUGGUUUAAUUCGACGCAACGCGAAGAACCUUACCUGGGCUUGACAUGUCGGUAGUACCUGUGGAAACACAGGGUCAGUUCGGCUGGACCGUCACAGGUGGUGCAUGGCUGUCGU
RNAcentral lists this ribosomal RNA (264 nucleotides) under uncultured bacterium. RNAcentral's name for it is "partial 16S ribosomal RNA". It matches the Rfam family "Bacterial small subunit ribosomal RNA", at positions 793 to 1055 of the family's 1533-position model. The record is from RNAcentral.